AUUCCGCUGAAUUUAAGCAUAUAAGUAAGUGGUGGAAAUUAAACCAACUGGGAUCUCUUCAGUAAUUGCGCAUGAACCAGGAUAUGCUUAGCUUGGCAAAUGGAGCUGCUGGCUCUGAAUUGUAUUGUGGGAAUGUAUUACCAACAGAGGUGCAGGUGUCAGCCAUUUGAAAGAAAGCAUCAAUGAGGGUGAGAGUCCUGUUUGUCAUGUGCAGCCUUCUGUGCACGGUGUAUAUUUGCUGAGUCACACUCCUUGGCAUUGGAAUGCAAAGUGGGUGGUAAGUUUCAUGCAAAGGUAAAUAUGCAAUUGAGACUGAUAGCGCACAAGUACCAUGAGGGACAUAUGAAAAGGACUUUGAAAAGAGAAUUAAAUGAGUUUGUAUUUGCUAAACACAAAGUAAACAGACUUGAUUUCCUCAGUGAGAUUGUAGUGCUUGCUUAACAAUGGGUUUUGGCUGCAAGUGCAAUAAUUCUUGCUUUGUGUGCCAGUUUUUAUGUGGACAUUUGAUUACCUUUGCACAUGAAUGGUAAUUUUCCUGCGGGGUGUGGAUUGCAUAUGCAUGUAAUGAUUUGCAUGUUUGUUAAAUGUGUCUGGUGUAUUUGUUUGUGUCCUUGUCCUUGAGGUUGCUUUCUCCCUUGGGCUUACAUGCCCUGGCACACACAUUCUGGCAAAAUGCUUCUGCUUGACCCGUCUUGAAAAU
RNAcentral lists this ribosomal RNA (700 nucleotides) under Alexandrium tamarense. RNAcentral describes it as "LSU rRNA". It matches the Rfam family "Eukaryotic large subunit ribosomal RNA", at positions 24 to 661 of the family's 3401-position model. The record is from RNAcentral. Lineage: Eukaryota; Dinophyceae; Gonyaulacales; Pyrocystaceae.